CCUACGGGAGGCAGCAGUGGGGAAUAUUGCGCAAUGGGCGAAAGCCUGACGCAGCGACGCCGCGUGAGGGAUGAAGGUCUUCGGAUCGUAAACCUCUGUCAGCAGGGAAGAACGGUCACUGUGCUAAUCAGCAGUGAAUUGACGGUACCUGCAAAGGAAGCACCGGCUAACUCCGUGCCAGCAGCCGCGGUAAUACGGAGGGUGCGAGCGUUCAUCGGAAUUACUGGGCGUAAAGCGCUCGUAGGCGGCAUGUCAAGUCAAGGGUGAAAUCCCCGCGCUCAACGUGGGAACUGCCUUUGAAACUGGCAAACUGGAGUGUGUGAGAGGAUAGUGGAAUUCCAGGUGGAGGAGUGAAAUGCGUAGAUAUCUGGAGGAACAUCAGUGGCGAAGGCGACUAUCUGGCACAUAACUGACGCUGAGGAGCGAAAGCGUGGGUAGCAAACAGGAUUAGAUACCCCAGUAGUC
Molecule: ribosomal RNA, 465 nt
Filed under: uncultured bacterium
Lineage: Bacteria
Description: partial 16S ribosomal RNA
Rfam family: Bacterial small subunit ribosomal RNA
Source: RNAcentral